CCCUUAGAUGUUCUGGGCCGCACGCGCGCUACACUGACGAAUGCAACGAGCUUAUAACCUUGGCCGAAAGGUCUGGGUAAUCUCCAAAUUUCGUCGUGAUGGGGAUAGAUUAUUGCAAUUAUUAAUCUUCAACGAGGAAUGCCUAGUAAGCGCAAGUCAUCAGCUUGCGUUGAUUACGUCCCUGCCCUUUGUACACACCGCCCGUCGCACCUACCGAUUGAAUGGUCCGGUGAAAUCUUCGGAUCUGAGAGAUGUCUGAUUAAUUUCGGACGCCUUUUGGAAAAGUUGUUUAAACCUUACCAUUUAGAGGAAGGUGAANUCGUAACA
This 327-nucleotide ribosomal RNA is filed under the name uncultured eukaryote. Its description in RNAcentral is "partial 18S ribosomal RNA". It matches the Rfam family "Eukaryotic small subunit ribosomal RNA", at positions 1470 to 1796 of the family's 1831-position model. The record is from RNAcentral.